Molecule: long non-coding RNA, 323 nt
Filed under: Salvia miltiorrhiza (redroot sage)
Lineage: Eukaryota; Viridiplantae; Streptophyta; Magnoliopsida; Lamiales; Lamiaceae
Description: long non-coding RNA (SMIL_LNC008807)
Source: RNAcentral
UCCAUUUAAAUAAUUAAUUUAAAGGUUAAUAUACAAUUAAAUUAAUCAAGCUCAAUUUAAAUUAAUAAUUAAGAGCUCAAAUACUUUAAAUAGAUAUAAGCCCAAAUUAAUUAGAUAAAUUAAGUCUAUCAUGUUUUUCUUUGAAUAAGGCCCAAACAAUAAAAUUAAAGAAGCCCAAAUCAUUUAAAUAAAAGAAGCCCAUCAGAUUUUUAUUUAAAAGGGCCGAGCCCAACAGAUAUUGAAGCCCAAACAUUUAAAAUCUAAGCCCAUCAAUUAAUUAAAUAAGGGCCCAAACACUUAUUAAAAUCGGCCCAAGUCUCGGC